AAAAGCUCUUUAGAACAAAAAGGAAAUAUUUUGAAAAUAGACGAUGGAUUUGAAGCAACAAAAUAGGCUCCCGGUGUAGUUGCUACGAAAAAAACAGCGGAUUCGUACGGAAUGUAGUUUUAUCCACAUUCAGUAUUUGUAGUUGCUAGUUUUCCAAAUUGGAGAAGGACACAUUGAAAUAUAUGUUUAUUUUGUUCAAUCUGUUGACGAGAAUUCGACAUCCUCUGGGCUACGGUCAACAAAGAACCAAUCAGAAGACGUCCUUUUGAGUUUGCCCGGCGCUGGUAUCACCGAGGAACCAAUCACUAGCUGUAAUUCAGAGGAUAUUACUAACUUUCGCAUUGGCAACUGCGUAAAAUUGGGACUACUCCGGGAAAUAUUUCGAUAAUUGGUAUCCAAGAUGGCUGGUGAAAGUUGUGGCAAGUGCAUGGAUCGCGUGGAUAGGCGGUUUCUUCUCCCAAGGGGAAUUCUCAAGAUCUUAGAAAUUGUGAGUAUCGUUGUAAAGUUCAAAAUACUCUAACCGCGCUUACAACAGGUCAGCCAGUGUUGAUCAAAUGUGACAUAGUUGUCGUAAUUAUGUACACAUCUGCUGAACGUGCUCUCUUACUGAAUAUAUCUCAAUAUCCUCCGAAGUUGGGUCUCAUCAGGAAACAUACACUCUUAGUAGUGAUAGGUCUAGAUAUUGUCCACCAAUGCUUACGUCGCUUUUGUUUACGUUUUUAGUUUCUCAACAUCGGCGCCAUAAUCCUGGUAGCCACUGGACGUACCGACGUCUAUCUCAAGCAUCUCCUGCGGAGAUGGGUCCCCUGGGGAAUCAUCGACAACGGCUACUUCCACGGCCUCAAUUUCGCUCUGGCCACUGCCUGUAUCUGGCUCGUCGUAACCAUCAUACUGUUUUUCGUCUUCCUGUUCCGGGGCUACAGGAAGUGCUGCGGGUUUGCAAAUUGGAUCAACGUGGAUUGCGCAUGCAGCAUCAUAGCCUGCUUGAUGAAUGUCGUAUCCUUCGUCCUGCUGUGCAUUUACUGUGGUCAUUGGCCUCUGGAGCACACCAUCUGGAACGAACGCCUCAUAGCGGCAGCGGUGUUCGCCGUUUUGACGGCCAUCUUGUAUCUCGCGGACUGCAUUGUUGCCAUAACAACGCCAAAUCCAGACCGAGGCAAAGGAGGCAACAACAACGCCACCUUUACUUGAAAUUAGUCAUGGACUGUUUUCCUGUGUGAAAGUGAUAUGUCAGAGUCACUGUCAAUAUCAUGAAGGUUAUCAGAUUGAAAACUAUGGUAUUCACUGUAAAUAGAGUACAAAAAGAGUAAAUAGAGUACUUUAUAGAGUACAAAAAGCUGACAUUUAUUUGAAAUUUCCAAUACACUAUUAUGACUCUGAGG
Lineus longissimus is the source of this 1382-nucleotide long non-coding RNA. RefSeq lists it as uncharacterized. Lineage: Eukaryota; Metazoa; Nemertea; Pilidiophora; Heteronemertea; Lineidae. The record is from RefSeq and is a predicted model, not a curated record. The transcript has 3 exons.